AGGCGGUCUGUCAAGUCGGAUGUGAAAUCCCCGGGCUCAACCUGGGAACUGCAUUCGAAACUGGCAGGCUAGAGUCUUGUAGAGGGGGGUAGAAUUCCAGGUGUAGCGGUGAAAUGCGUAGAGAUCUGGAGGAAUACCGGUGGCGAAGGCGGCCCCCUGGACAAAGACUGACGCUCAGGUGCGAAAGCGUGGGGAGCAAACAGGAUUAGAUACCCUGGUAGUCCACGCCGUAAACGAUGUCGAUUUGGAGGUUGUGCCCUUGAGGCGUGGCUUCCGGAGCUAACGCGUUAAAUCGACCGCCUGGGGAGUACGGCCGCAAGGUUAAAACUCAAAUGAAUUGACGGGGGCCCGCACAAGCGGUGGAGCAUGUGGUUUAAUUCGAUGCAACGCGAAGAACCUUACCUGGUCUUGACAUCCACAGAACUUUCCA
RNAcentral lists this ribosomal RNA (430 nucleotides) under Klebsiella pneumoniae. RNAcentral's name for it is "bacterial SSU rRNA". It matches the Rfam family "Bacterial small subunit ribosomal RNA", at positions 573 to 1002 of the family's 1533-position model. Lineage: Bacteria; Pseudomonadati; Pseudomonadota; Gammaproteobacteria; Enterobacterales; Enterobacteriaceae. The record is from RNAcentral.